RNAcentral lists this ribosomal RNA (1373 nucleotides) under uncultured bacterium. Its description in RNAcentral is "bacterial SSU rRNA". It matches the Rfam family "Bacterial small subunit ribosomal RNA", at positions 28 to 1381 of the family's 1533-position model. The record is from RNAcentral.
GAUGAACGCUGGCGGCGUGCCUAAUACAUGCAAGUCGAGCGAACGGACGAGAAGCUUGCUUCUCUGAUGUUAGCGGCGGACGGGUGAGUAACACGUGGAUAACCUACCUAUAAGACUGGGAUAACUUCGGGAAACCGGAGCUAAUACCGGAUAAUAUUUUGAACCGCAUGGUUCAAAAGUGAAAGACGGUCUUGCUGUCACUUAUAGAUGGAUCCGCGCUGCAUUAGCUAGUUGGUAAGGUAACGGCUUGCCAAGGCAACGAUGCAUAGCCGACCUGAGAGGGUGAUCGGCCACACUGGAACUGAGACACGGUCCAGACUCCUACGGGAGGCAGCAGUAGGGAAUCUUCCGCAAUGGGCGAAAGCCUGACGGAGCAACGCCGCGUGAGUGAUGAAGGUCUUCGGAUCGUAAAACUCUGUUAUUAGGGAAGAACAUAUGUGUAAGUAACUGUGCACAUCUUGACGGUACCUAAUCAGAAAGCCACGGCUAACUACGUGCCAGCAGCCGCGGUAAUACGUAGGUGGCAAGCGUUAUCCGGAAUUAUUGGGCGUAAAGCGCGCGUAGGCGGUUUUUUAAGUCUGAUGUGAAAGCCCACGGCUCAACCGUGGAGGGUCAUUGGAAACUGGAAAACUUGAGUGCAGAAGAGGAAAGUGGAAUUCCAUGUGUAGCGGUGAAAUGCGCAGAGAUAUGGAGGAACACCAGUGGCGAAGGCGACUUUCUGGUCUGUAACUGACGCUGAUGUGCGAAAGCGUGGGGAUCAAACAGGAUUAGAUACCCUGGUAGUCCACGCCGUAAACGAUGAGUGCUAAGUGUUAGGGGGUUUCCGCCCCUUAGUGCUGCAGCUAACGCAUUAAGCACUCCGCCUGGGGAGUACGACCGCAAGGUUGAAACUCAAAGGAAUUGACGGGGACCCGCACAAGCGGUGGAGCAUGUGGUUUAAUUCGAAGCAACGCGAAGAACCUUACCAAAUCUUGACAUCCUUUGACAACUCUAGAGAUAGAGCCUUCCCCUUCGGGGGGGCAAAGUGACAGGUGGUGCAUGGUUGUCGUCAGCUCGUGUCGUGAGAUGUUGGGUUAAGUCCCGCAACGAGCGCAACCCUUAAGCUUAGUUGCCAUCAUUAAGUUGGGCACUCUAAGUUGACUGCCGGUGACAAACCGGAGGAAGGUGGGGAUGACGUCAAAUCAUCAUGCCCCUUAUGAUUUGGGCUACACACGUGCUACAAUGGACAAUACAAAGGGCAGCGAAACCGCGAGGUCAAGCAAAUCCCAUAAAGUUGUUCUCAGUUCGGAUUGUAGUCUGCAACUCGACUACAUGAAGCUGGAAUCGCUAGUAAUCGUAGAUCAGCAUGCUACGGUGAAUACGUUCCCGGGUCU